GAGUUUGAUCAUGGCUCAGAACGUACGCUGGCGGCACGCCUAACACAUGCAAGUCGAACGAAGUAGCAAUACUUAGUGGCAGACGGGUGAGUAACAUGUGGGUAUCUGCCCUUUGGCCUGGAAUAACACGAGGAAACUUGUGCUAAUACCGGAUAAGUCUUUACGGAGAAAGCUUUAUGCACCAUUGGAUGAGCCCGCACUUGAUUAGUUUGUUGGUAGGGUAAUGGCCUACCAAGACUAUGAUCAAUAGCUGAUUUGAGAGGAUGAUCAGCCACAUUGGGACUGAGACACGGCCCAAACUCCUACGGGAGGCAGCAGUGGGGAAUCUUGCACAAUGGAGGAAACUCUGAUGCAGCGAUGCCGCGUGAGUGAAGAAGGCCCUUGGGUUGUAAAGCUCUUUCGUCGGGGAAGAAAAUGACUGUACCCGAAUAAGAAG
This 436-nucleotide ribosomal RNA is filed under the name uncultured proteobacterium OCS138. RNAcentral describes it as "SSU rRNA". It matches the Rfam family "Bacterial small subunit ribosomal RNA", at positions 9 to 490 of the family's 1533-position model. The record is from RNAcentral. Lineage: Bacteria; Pseudomonadati; Pseudomonadota; Alphaproteobacteria; Candidatus Pelagibacterales.